This 24-nucleotide non-coding RNA is filed under the name Arabidopsis thaliana (thale cress). Lineage: Eukaryota; Viridiplantae; Streptophyta; Magnoliopsida; Brassicales; Brassicaceae. The record is from RNAcentral.
UGCAGCUCAACACAGGGUGUGGUC